GCUGAGGCGGCGAGGUAGCAAGCCUCCAAAUUGCCAGCGGAGCGACGCGCUACUUCAUCCUGGCAGCGCAUAGAGACGACAGGCCGCCUGGAUGGAACGAAGGGAGGAGGUAGCUGGUAGCGAGUUCUAUCAGAGAAGCACUCAUGCGAUUAUUCUCAUUCUUCAGGUAAGUCAUGGAAAAAAAUCAGACGGGUCUUUUUCUUCUCAAGUCAGACCCCUCUCUAAGCCUGUCACAUGUCAUCACCAAUAUUCAGGCAAUAUGAGUCUUCUUCUUCAAUAUUCAGGCAAUAUGGGCCGUCUUCUUCUCCAAACCAUCUUCCCCGAAUCGAGCUGAUUCCUGAUAAACUAUCUUGCAAGAUGGUGGAACGAAUUUGAAGUCUUUAUUUAUUGUCGACACCCAUCAGCCAUCGUCUGCAGGUGUCGUCCGUGUUUGCCGGGACAGGUCUGCAGCCCUAGAUGUCUCCUCCCCUCUCCAAGUCUCCAUACCAGGUUCUCCCUGCAGCCUCUUCGUCGCAGAGUCUGUUUUGAUUCUGCCCCACCAUCCUGUUUUUGCAGUCUGGUUCUUAAAUUCAGAGAUUUAAAAUUUUAAAAAUUGUUGUACGUAGAACUACAUCAGUUGUCUGUCUUGGAAAUUUCAUGUAUUGGCUGAUGCAAAGCUUGAAUUAUAUAUAUUGUGUUCUAGAUACUAAAGCUUGAUACGAUUUGACUAUUGUAUUGAGGUUUUGCACUUAAACUGUACAUUAUUUUAGAGAAAGAUGAAUGGUUGUAUCUCCAGCAUGCUGGAUGAUAGCUUACUGAGUUGGAUAUUUAACCUCUGUGGUCAUGUUAAC
This 830-nucleotide long non-coding RNA is filed under the name Triticum aestivum (bread wheat). RNAcentral's name for it is "long non-coding RNA (TAES_LNC006357)". Lineage: Eukaryota; Viridiplantae; Streptophyta; Magnoliopsida; Poales; Poaceae. The record is from RNAcentral.